This 246-nucleotide ribosomal RNA is filed under the name uncultured bacterium. Its description in RNAcentral is "partial 16S ribosomal RNA". It matches the Rfam family "Bacterial small subunit ribosomal RNA", at positions 109 to 354 of the family's 1533-position model. The record is from RNAcentral.
AGUAACACGUGGAUAAUCUGCCCUGCACAGGGGGACAACAGCUAGAAAUGGCUGCUAAUACCCGCAUAAGCCUACAGCCUCGCAUGAGGGAGUAGGAAAAGAAAUUCGGUGCAGGAUGAGUCCGCGUCUGAUUAGCUAGUUGGAGGGGUAAGAGCCCACCAAGGCAACGAUCAGUAGCCGGCCUGAGAGGGCCGACCGGCCACAUUGGGACUGAGACACGGCCCAAACUCCUACGGAAGGCAGCAG